RNAcentral lists this ribosomal RNA (497 nucleotides) under uncultured bacterium. Its description in RNAcentral is "partial 16S ribosomal RNA". It matches the Rfam family "Bacterial small subunit ribosomal RNA", at positions 28 to 507 of the family's 1533-position model. The record is from RNAcentral.
GAUGAACGCUGGCGGCGUGCCUAAUACAUGCAAGUCGAGCGAACAGACGAGGAGCUUGCUCCUCUGACGUUAGCGGCGGACGGGUGAGUAACACGUGGAUAACCUACCUAUAAGACUGGGAUAACUUCGGGAAACCGGAGCUAAUACCGGAUAAUAUAUUGAACCGCAUGGUUCAAUAGUGAAAGACGGUUUUGCUGUCACUUAUAGAUGGAUCCGCGCCGCAUUAGCUAGUUGGUAAGGUAACGGCUUACCAAGGCAACGAUGCGUAGCCGACCUGAGAGGGUGAUCGGCCACACUGGAACUGAGACACGGUCCAGACUCCUACGUGAGGCAGCAGUAGGGAAUCUUCCGCAAUGGGCGAAAGCCUGACGGAGCAACGCCGCGUGAGUGAAGAAGGUCUUCGGAUCGUAAAACUCUGUUAUUAGGGAAGAACAAAUGUGUAAGUAACUAUGCACGUCUUGACGGUACCUAAUCAGAAAGCCACGGCUAACUACGUG